This 2142-nucleotide long non-coding RNA is filed under the name Sarcophilus harrisii (Tasmanian devil). RNAcentral's name for it is "lncRNA (ENSSHAG00000026530.1)". The record is from RNAcentral. Lineage: Eukaryota; Metazoa; Chordata; Mammalia; Dasyuromorphia; Dasyuridae.
CCCCUUUCCUGCCUGGUCUUAAGCUGGAAUACUUGCAGAUGGCUCCAUCUGAAACAGACCUCCCUGGCCGAGAGCAAAGUCACCUAUCCCAGAGUCAGAUCUGCCCCUCCCCUUGCCGCAUAUGUGGUACGGAGGUGGAUGGCCGGGGUGAAAAGGAGGGGGGUUCUCUGCCCCACCCCGCUCCUCUACUUUCCAUCCCCCGAUAAGCCUCAGCUGCCUUUCUCCUGGGAAAGGAGAGCCUGUGACAGCCCGGAGAGGCCCUCUUCAGCCUGGCCCUCGCCAGGGCAGAAUGUUAAGCCGAGGGGCUCCAGUGAAACGGGAGCCAGCGUUUCUAAAUUAAGAAUGCCGCACGAUGGCCCCAGACCUUUUCCCAGUCCUGCCUCCCCGAGAUCACCGCAGGCUUCAUGUUCCGAGAGCCAGACGGGCUGGACAGAGUCAUUAGUCACCCAGGUUAACCAUCCCUGGUGCAGUUAGCGGAUCUUGGAAUAACUGGAGGCCUUUUACCAUUCCAGCUGUUCUCUGAAUACAAUCCAGAAUAUCAAUGUCCUCUCUAAAAUGCAGUUCUCCAAAUUGAACAUGAUAUAAAGAAAGAUUGCCUGGCUUACAACCAAAAGAACAAAUCAGUUGAGUGAUUUUUAUGGUAUUCUGGCAAAACCCAACACUUGGCUUCUUCCCAGUUAAGUUUGUUGGUAUUACUGAAAAAGUCCUUCUGUUCAAAAAAGUCAAGUUAACCUCCAGGUUGAAAAGAAGGAGGCUUUACAUCCUAGUCAAAGGGGAGUGGAAAAUUGGGUUGUGCUUUAGAUAAGUAUGUAAUAUUUCCUUGCAUAUCAUUUGUUCAAGUUACGUUAUUGACUUUGGAAAUGCAAGUUAUGAAAACUAAAAAGAAAAAAAAGAGGUUCUUCCCAUGAGGCAAUCGAACUGAAGAAUUACAAGUUCAAGCUAAAAUGUCAUCUUGAACAUGCCUUCCUCACCAUCGUAUUACUUAAGAGCGUAGUGUUAUAUUACCACUGAAUUUCCUGUCCCAGAUAAGGUUAAGCUAGAUAUUUGAUGUUAUUUAAAUAGUUUUAAAUAUUUUAUGAUAUCUAGAAUUAUGCCAUUUUCCAUAGCUCACACCCUGUACUUUAAUGUUUUAUUUGCCAAAAAUGAAGGAAAAAUAUCUUUCUCAUGUACACACAGCAGCUUGGGCAAUAUGUGCAAUUUUGUGCUUAGCACAAAAACAACAAAGAAAUAGGUUAAGCAGCCCUACCACCUCCUCAAUCAUCGUAUAUAUAUUUUAUAGACUGGGCAGGACAAGGUAGAGAGAAAUAUGCCCCAAAUAUGUGAAUGUAUGAGUCUAUAUAUUUUUGCUUAAAGCAGUGUUCAAGCAUACUGCCGUUAAAUUGUUUUCUGCUAAAAGCGUUUGAAGUCCUUCCAUCCCAGGAGAGCAUUAUAAAAGAAGUAUGGCUAUCUAAAGGAAAUUUGCCCUGGAUGAGAAUUUUGUACAAAAAUCCACAUGCCACAUUUUUUUCAAGGCAGACAUGUUGCCAAUUAAAAACCAAGGUGUAGUGGAGAAGUCAGAAAUCCCACAUUAUUUUUCCACAACUCCAGGAUGGAUAAUAUUCACAUUACAUUGAAAUGAGUAAGAUAUGUCCAGUAGAAACUGAAUGGAUGCCCAUCAAUUGGAGAAUGGCUGAAUAAAUUAUGAUAUAUGAAUGUUAUGGAAUAUUAUUGUUCUGUAAGAAAUGACCAACAGGAUGAUUUCAGAGAGGUCUGGAGAGACUUACACGAACUGAUGCUGAGUGAGAUGAGCAGAACCAGGAGAUCAUUAUACACGGCAACAGCAAGAUUGAACAAUGAUCAACUCUGAUGGACGUGGCUCUCCUCAACAAUGAGAUGAUUCAAACCAGUUCCAACUGUUCAGUGAUAAAGAUAAAGUGAUGAAGAGGGUCAUCUACAAGUCUGUGUGAACUAAGUGUGGAUCACAACAUAGCAUGUUCAUGCUUUCUGUUAUUGUUUGCUUGCAUGUUUGUUUUCUUCUCAGGUUUUUUUUUUUUCCUUCUUGAUCUGAUUUUUCUUGUGCAGCAAGAUUACUGUAUAAAUAUGUAUACACAUAUUGUAUUUAACAUAUUUAACAUGUAUGGGACUAUCUGCCAUCUAGGGGAG